RNAcentral lists this long non-coding RNA (588 nucleotides) under Daphnia magna. Its description in RNAcentral is "uncharacterized LOC123474428, transcript variant X2". The record is from RNAcentral. Lineage: Eukaryota; Metazoa; Arthropoda; Branchiopoda; Diplostraca; Daphniidae.
AUUGAUCUUGAUUAUCGGGAAGCAGACGUAUGCUGUUUUUCUUCUAGGCGGUGUUGCGUUAGCAUAGAAUCAACACAGCAGUCCGCAAAACUACGCCUGUCAAUCGGUUUUCAACAUACACUUCCCAUCAUGUGUUGCUGGAUCUUAGUUUUUUAGUUAAAUUGUUUAUUUUAUUUCUAUUUUGCCUUAUUCUAAUCGCACAUUUCAUUCAGAUGCUUCUUUUCAAACUAAAUAAAAUUGGUUAGCUAAAACGAAGGAGGAAGGAAAUGCAUGCGUGAGACAUUCAACUUUGCAGUCAGCUAACCAGGCACUAUCAGGAAUCCAUUUUAAGUGAUUAAGUGAAAAAGCGACUUAGCCUACGUUUUAAAAUGUGGGCUUUGGUAAGAUCAGAUCAUUCAAGAAGUCACCGCGUUCAGUCACCUGCCAGUCUAUUCGCCAACAAGACACAGAAAGCCACGUAUUUCCCUUUUAACUUUAGACUUACUCUUGAGUUUGUUUACAGAGUUGAACCUAGUGAGUGCCACGUUUAAAAAAAAAUAUAUAUUAUGCUUUUAAAUUUACAUUAUGAAAAAUGAGUUGAAUAUUCCA